UCCGUAGUAGCUCACAUGGUUAAACUCUGAUGUUGAAUUUCCGGGUUCGAAUCCCGGCUACGGAA
Transfer RNA from Cajanus cajan (pigeon pea), 65 nucleotides. It matches the Rfam family "tRNA". Rfam says of the family: Transfer RNA (tRNA) molecules are approximately 80 nucleotides in length. NCBI's taxonomy places the organism in Eukaryota, Viridiplantae, Streptophyta, Magnoliopsida, Fabales, Fabaceae. The record is from Rfam.